GAUCAUGGCUCAGGAUGAACGCUAGCUACAGGCUUAACACAUGCAAGUCGAGGGGCAGCAUGGUCUUAGCUUGCUAAGGCUGAUGGCGACCGGCGCACGGGUGAGUAACACGUAUCCAACCUGCCGUCUACUCUUGGCCAGCCUUCUGAAAGGAAGAUUAAUCCAGGAUGGGAUCAUGAGUUCACAUGUCCGCAUGAUUAAAGGUAUUUCCGGUAGACGAUGGGGUAG
RNAcentral lists this ribosomal RNA (228 nucleotides) under uncultured bacterium. RNAcentral's name for it is "partial 16S ribosomal RNA". It matches the Rfam family "Bacterial small subunit ribosomal RNA", at positions 15 to 233 of the family's 1533-position model. The record is from RNAcentral.